CAGGCUUAACACAUGCAAGUCGAGGGGCAGCAUGGUCUUAGCUUGCUAAGACUGAUGGCGACCGGCGCACGGGUGAGUAACACGUAUCCAACCUGCCGUCUACUCUUGGACAGCCUUCUGAAAGGAAGAUUAAUACAAGAUGGCAUCAUGAGUCCGCAUGUUCACAUGAUUAAAGGUAUUCCGGUGGACGAUGGGGAUGCGUUCCAUUAGAUAGUAGGCGGGGUAACGGCCCACCUAGUCUUCGAUGGAUAGGGGUUCUGAGAGGAAGGUCCCCCACAUUGGAACUGAGACACGGUCCAAACUCCUACGGGAGGCAGCAGUGAGGAAUAUUGGUCAAUGGGCGAGAGCCUGAACCAGCCAAGUAGCGUGAAGGAUGACUGCCCUAUGGGUUGUAAACUUCUUUUAUAAAGGAAUAAAGUCGGGUAUGGAUACCCGUUUGCAUGUACUUUAUGAAUAAGGAUCGGCUAACUCCGUGCCAGCAGCCGCGGUAAUACGGAGGAUCCGAGCGUUAUCCGGAUUUAUUGGGUUUAAAGGGAGCGUAGAUGGAUGUUUAAGUCAGUUGUGAAAGUUUGCGGCUCAACCGUAAAAUUGCAGUUGAUACUGGAUAUCUUGAGUGCAGUUGAGGCAGGCGGAAUUCGUGGUGUAGCGGUGAAAUGCUUAGAUAUCACGAAGAACUCCGAUUGCGAAGGCAGCCUGCUAAGCUGCAACUGACAUUGAGGCUCGAAAGUGUGGGUAUCAAACAGGAUUAGAUACCCUGGUAGUCCACACGGUAAACGAUGAAUACUCGCUGUUUGCGAUAUACUGCAAGCGGCCAAGCGAAAGCGUUAAGUAUUCCACCUGGGGAGUACGCCGGCAACGGUGAAACUCAAAGGAAUUGACGGGGGCCCGCACAAGCGGAGGAGCAUGUGGUUUAAUUCGAUGAUACGCGAGGAACCUUACCCGGGCUUAAAUUGCAGAUGAAUUACGGUGAAAGCCGUAAGCCGCAAGGCAUCUGUGAAGGUGCUGCAUGGUUGUCGUCAGCUCGUGCCGUGAGGUGUCGGCUUAAGUGCCAUAACGAGCGCAACCCUUGUUGUCAGUUACUAACAGGUUCCGCUGAGGACUCUGACAAGACUGCCAUCGUAAGAUGUGAGGAAGGUGGGGAUGACGUCAAAUCAGCACGGCCCUUACGUCCGGGGCUACACACGUGUUACAAUGGGGGGUACAGAGGGCCGCUACCACGCGAGUGGAUGCCAAUCCCCAAAACCCCUCUCAGUUCGGACUGGAGUCUGCAACCCGACUCCACGAAGCUGGAUUCGCUAGUAAUCGCGCAUCAGCCACGGCGCGGUGAAUACGUUCCCGGGCCUUGUACACACCGCCCGUCAAGCCAUGGGAGCCGGGGGUACCUGAAGUGCGUAACCGCGAGGAGCGCCCUAGGGUAAAACUGGUGACUGGGGCUAAGU
This 1439-nucleotide ribosomal RNA is filed under the name uncultured organism. RNAcentral's name for it is "16S ribosomal RNA". It matches the Rfam family "Bacterial small subunit ribosomal RNA". The record is from RNAcentral.